UCUUAUGAUUUCAAUUCAUUGUUUCAAAUCUUGCCUCACACUUCACCCGUCUCUACUCACAGAAAAGUCUGCAUUUCCGUCACUAUUGUGUCUCUCUGCAUGGGAUUUCAGUGCGGAUCCUUAUCCUCCAUGUGCAGAUGCUAAUCGAGAUGGAGAUCCAGUCGGAGGAAAAUGGUUCGCUAGUUGAUGAUCCAGUUGCUGAUGAUUGUGAUCCAAACCCAUUUAUAAACUGUAUGAUCCAGUCGAUGAACCACAUGAUCAAGUCAAUGAACCAGUCCCAGCAAUGGGGAUAGAGACAGGUGCAUUCAUUUCAUUUCGAGAUCGAACAGCAGCAGCUGAUCCGGUUGAAUCAGUCGAAGGAGAAGUCGAAGAAGAAGAAAAAGAAGAAGUCGAGUCGGUUGGACCUGGCUAACGCUGUUUUAGGGAAAAGUGGUGACUAUCCCUGCAGUAGUAGCCAUAGUAGCUGUGGUAGGGAGAAGUGGUGACUAUCCCUGCAUGCAGUGGAAGGAUUCCUUAUUGUGUAGUUGCUCCCUAGUCCCCACGCUAUCUCCUCCCGACCAGUUUACUGAAAUCAAUUUAUUGAUGGUUUAUUUUUAUAUAAAUUUUUCAUAUGUUUUAGAAAUAGUGUAUCUUGAAUUUUAAAUUUGGGAAAUUUUGUCACGUAGGGUAUUAUUACAAAAGGGAAAUGGGAACUCUUGAAUUUACCUUGGAUAAGUCAAAGUUAGAAGAGGUGGAGAACAUUGUGAAUAGAUGAGGAUGAUUUGUAAAUAAAGAGUGCCGAGAUUGUAGGGGUAAUCCAUGCAUUCUAUUAUCAAGUUGACAAAAAGGGAAAGAGAAGAUGUUUCAAAGAA
This is a long non-coding RNA of Cryptomeria japonica (Japanese cedar), 851 nucleotides long. RefSeq lists it as uncharacterized. The transcript is spliced from 2 exons. The record is from RefSeq and is a predicted model, not a curated record. Lineage: Eukaryota; Viridiplantae; Streptophyta; Pinopsida; Cupressales; Cupressaceae.